UACGUAGGCAGCAAGCGUUGUUCGGAGUUACUGGGCGUAAAGGGUGUGUAGGCGGUUGUUUAAGUUUGGUGUGAAAUCUCCCGGCUCAACUGGGAGGUGCGCCGAAUACUGAAUGACUAGAGUGCGGGAGAGGAAAGUGGAAUUCCUGGUGUAGCGGUGAAAUGCGUAGAUAUCAGGAGGAACACCGGUGGUGUAGACGGCUUCUGGACCGUAACUGACGCUGAGACACGAAAGCGUGGGUAGCAAACAGG
Molecule: ribosomal RNA, 251 nt
Filed under: uncultured bacterium
Lineage: Bacteria
Description: partial 16S ribosomal RNA
Rfam family: Bacterial small subunit ribosomal RNA
Source: RNAcentral